RNAcentral lists this ribosomal RNA (468 nucleotides) under uncultured bacterium. RNAcentral describes it as "partial 16S ribosomal RNA". It matches the Rfam family "Bacterial small subunit ribosomal RNA", at positions 28 to 507 of the family's 1533-position model. The record is from RNAcentral.
GACGAACGCUGGCGGCGUGCUUAACACAUGCAAGUCGAACGGAAAGGCCCUGCUUUUGUGGGGUGCUCGAGUGGCGAACGGGUGAGUAACACGUGAGUAACCUGCCCUUGACUUUGGGAUAACUUCAGGAAACUGGGGCUAAUACCGGAUAGGAGCUCCUGCUGCAUGGUGGGGGUUGGAAAGGUUCGGCGGUUGGGGAUGGACGCGCGGCUGAUCAGCUUGUUGGUGGGGUAGUGGCUUACCAAGGCUUUGACGGGUAGCCGGCCUGAGAGGGUGACCGGCCACAUUGGGACUGAGAUACGGCCCAGACUCCUACGGUAGGCAGCAGUGGGGAAUAUUGCACAAUGGGCGGAAGCCUGAUGCAGCAACGCCGCGUGCGGGAUGACGGCCUUCGGGUUGUAAACCGCUUUCGCCUGUGACGAAGCGUGAGUGACGGUAAUGGGUAAAGAAGCACCGGCUAACUACGUG